GCUGUGCCUACAUACUGCCAUU
RNAcentral lists this microRNA (22 nucleotides) under Patiria miniata (bat star). RNAcentral describes it as "Pmi-Mir-31-P3_3p* (star (passenger))". Lineage: Eukaryota; Metazoa; Echinodermata; Asteroidea; Valvatida; Asterinidae. The record is from RNAcentral.